GGGACAAACACAGGGCACUGCUAGGGGCACAGAGCUGCAGCAGGAGCAGGAUUAGGAGAAAGCCACAGUAAAAGUGAUGAAGCCGUGGAAGAUAUUUUUCUUCCUCUCCCACAGACCUGGGUCCCACGAGCGUGAUCUCAAGGAAGGAGAAGACUGCCUCCAAUAGCACCUUGUUACCAGGU
Canis lupus familiaris (dog) is the source of this 182-nucleotide long non-coding RNA. RefSeq lists it as uncharacterized. Lineage: Eukaryota; Metazoa; Chordata; Mammalia; Carnivora; Canidae. The record is from RefSeq and is a predicted model, not a curated record. The transcript is spliced from 3 exons.